Molecule: ribosomal RNA, 566 nt
Filed under: Sordariomycetes sp.
Lineage: Eukaryota; Fungi; Ascomycota; Sordariomycetes
Description: eukaryotic LSU rRNA
Source: RNAcentral
UGGUUGACYUCGGAUCAGGUAGGAAUACCCGCUGAACUUAAGCAUAUCAAUAAGCGGAGGAAAAGAAACCAACAGGGAUUGCCCUAGUAACGGCGAGUGAAGCGGCAACAGCUCAAAUUUGAAAUCUGGCCUUCGGGUCCGAGUUGUAAUUUGCAGAGGAUGCUUUUGGCGCGGUGCCUUCCGAGUUCCCUGGAACGGGACGCCUUAGAGGGUGAGAGCCCCGUACGGUUGGACACCAAGCCUCUGUAAAGCUCCUUCGACGAGUCGAGUAGUUUGGGAAUGCUGCUCUAAAUGGGAGGUAAAUUUCUUCUAAAGCUAAAUACCGGCCAGAGACCGAUAGCGCACAAGUAGAGUGAUCGAAAGAUGAAAAGCACUUUGAAAAGAGGGUUAAAUAGCACGUGAAAUUGUUGAAAGGGAAGCGUUUACGGCCAGACCUUUUCCUGGCGGAUCAUCUGGUGUUCUCACCAGUGCACUUCGCCAGGUUUAGGCCAGCAUCGGCUUCUGUAGGGGGAUAAAAGCAGUGGGAAAGUAGCUCCCUCGGGAGUGUUAUAGCCCUAAGCAUAAUA